This 774-nucleotide ribosomal RNA is filed under the name uncultured Neocallimastigales. Its description in RNAcentral is "partial large subunit ribosomal RNA". It matches the Rfam family "Eukaryotic large subunit ribosomal RNA", at positions 24 to 636 of the family's 3401-position model. Lineage: Eukaryota; Fungi; Neocallimastigomycota; Neocallimastigomycetes; Neocallimastigales. The record is from RNAcentral.
UAUGUGAUCGUCUCUCGCAUAUCAAUAAGCGGAGGAAAAGAAACUAACAAGGAUUCCCCUAGUGACGGCGAGUGAAGCGGGAAGAGCUCAAAUUUGAAAUCUUAAAGGGUUUCCCUUUACGAAUUGUAGUUUAAAGAAGUGUUUUCUGUUGAGGUUUUGGUAAAAGUUCUUUGGAAUAGGACAUCAUAGAGGGUGAGAAUCCCGUAUUUGACCUUUACUUUCAACUUUGUGAUACACUUUCAAAGAGUCGGAUUGUUUGGGAAUGCAGUCCAAAAUGGGUGGUAAAUUUCAUCUAAAGCUAAAUAUUGGCGAGAGACCGAUAGCGAACAAGUACCGUGAGGGAAAGAUGAAAAGAACUUUGAAAAGAGAGUUAAACAGUACGUGAAAUUGUCAAAAGGGAAGCGUUUGACACCAGUGUUGUUUUUCUGAAAAUCAAUUAAAGAACUGUUUAUGCUAAGUUGUUUAGACUUUAUCAGCUAACUGUUUAGUUUUGAGCUUUUCUUUAAUGCACUUUUCAGUUAACAAGUCAACAUCAAUUUCUUUUGCUGUAAAAAAGCUUGAGGAAGGUGGCUUGAGAUUCGUCUUAAGUGUUUAUAGCCUCUUGCCUAUGCAGUCGGAGAGAUUGAGGUCUGCAGCGUAGAUCCUUCGGGGCUAAAUGCAUUUGUGCUAAGUUAUAGCAUUUUAUAGACAACUUGUUGACUAUGAUUUGUCUUGUAGCUUACUCGCUUAUGUUAUUUUACCUACGCUUAGGAUGUUGAUAUGCAUGACUGAUAU